RNAcentral lists this ribosomal RNA (482 nucleotides) under uncultured bacterium. RNAcentral's name for it is "bacterial SSU rRNA". It matches the Rfam family "Bacterial small subunit ribosomal RNA", at positions 29 to 506 of the family's 1533-position model. The record is from RNAcentral.
UUGAACGCUGGCGGCGUGCUUAACACAUGCAAGUCGAUCGGUAACGCGGGGGCAACCCUGGCGACGAGAGGCGGACGGGUGAGGAACGCUUGGGAAUCUGCCCUUCAGCGGGGGACAACCCGGGGAAACCCGGGCUAAUACCGCAUACGCUCCACGGAGGAAAGCCGGGGACCGCAAGGCCUGGCACUGAAGGAUGAGCCCAAGUCGGAUUAGCUAGUUGGCGGGGUAACGGCCCACCAAGGCGACGAUCGAUAGCUGGUCUGAGAGGAUGAUCAGCCACACUGGGACUGAGACACGGCCCAGACUACUACGGGAGGCAGCAGGAGGGAAUAUUGGACAAUGGGCGCAAGCCUGAUCCAGCCAUGCCGCGUGAGUGAAGAAGGCCCUCGGGUUGUAAAGCUCUUUUGUUGGGGAAGAAAAGCAGUCGGUUAAUACCUGAUUGUUCUGACGGUACCCAAAGAAUAAGCACCGGCUAACUUCGU